GGAAGUCUGAGGGUGACCUGGCUGCAACUCACAUCACCCCCUUGAUAACCAGGUUUGAUUUGGUUGAUGUGGCUGGUGAGGGGGUGUCCCCUUUCACCCUCACAUCUCCAAGAGUAUCCCUGCUAAAGCUGUGUGCUUUGUCAAAGAGGAUGACCUUCCCCGAAUAGAGGAAAGCCGGUCUUAUGCUAAGGGUAUAUGAGGUAGCUGUGCUCCCAUGCUAUAACAUCCAAGCAAACUCGCAAAGGGAUGCUUAAGAGAACCCCAAAGACUCUAACCCGGUGGUUUAAGAGAUAGUGU
This is an unclassified non-coding RNA of Mesocricetus auratus (golden hamster), 297 nucleotides long. Its record names the gene 7SK. It matches the Rfam family "7SK RNA". Rfam says of the family: 7SK was discovered as an abundant small nuclear RNA in the mid-70s but a possible function has only recently been suggested. NCBI's taxonomy places the organism in Eukaryota, Metazoa, Chordata, Mammalia, Rodentia, Cricetidae. The record is from Ensembl.